GGUAUUGUAAGUGGCAGAGUG
This 21-nucleotide non-coding RNA is filed under the name Arabidopsis thaliana (thale cress). The record is from RNAcentral. Lineage: Eukaryota; Viridiplantae; Streptophyta; Magnoliopsida; Brassicales; Brassicaceae.